AAAAAAGUCUAUAAGAAAGAGAUUUUCUUUUAUGAAGAAACCUAAAGCUGCCUGCCCUAGGUGUUGUGUCCAGUGCUUCUAGCUGCAGUGACCAUGAACUGCCAUGAUCCCCUGUGUCCUCUGAGCCACCCAGAGAUGAAAAGUCUGACAGUGCCACGUGUGACCGUCUAUCGGUGGUGCAGAAAUGUGGUCUGCUCGGGAAGAUCCCCCCUAAAAAUGGCAUUUGCCAGGCUUUGACAAGCCAGAAUUCCUGCAUCAGUGAAGGCCUUGCUAUGGGUUAGAGACACAACUCUACCCUUACCAUGUCAGUCAUACUCGGGGGAGCCGUAAAUCACGAGUCACAAUAUGGCACAGUAUGGGCUCUUGUGAUGUGGAUGAAGAGGCAGAUGGAGGAGAAAGGAUUUGACGUGUCUUGGACCAGCACUCCUAUUUUUCCGGUGCCUGGGAACAAGGAGACAUCAGCCAGAUUCAGGGCGUCGUGUGAAGAUCUGGCUUCACUCAUCGCUCGUUGUUGAGCACCGGGAGCAAAAAUGUAGCAAAUAAUGCAAAGAAAAUCCUUCUAAGAGAUCUGGG
Molecule: long non-coding RNA, 573 nt
Filed under: Equus caballus (horse)
Lineage: Eukaryota; Metazoa; Chordata; Mammalia; Perissodactyla; Equidae
Description: lncRNA (ENSECAG00000050084.1)
Source: RNAcentral